This 253-nucleotide ribosomal RNA is filed under the name uncultured bacterium. Its description in RNAcentral is "partial 16S ribosomal RNA". It matches the Rfam family "Bacterial small subunit ribosomal RNA", at positions 524 to 776 of the family's 1533-position model. The record is from RNAcentral.
UACAGAGGGUGCAAGCGUUAAUCGGAAUUACUGGGCGUAAAGGGUGCGUAGGUGGACGCAUAAGUCGGAUGUGAAAUCCCUGGGCUUAACCUAGGAACUGCAUUCGAAACUGUGAGUCUAGAGUAUGGUAGAGGUAAGUGGAAUUUCCGGUGUAGCGGUGAAAUGCGUAGAUAUCGGAAGGAACAUCAGUGGCGAAGGCGACUUACUGGACUGAUACUGACACUGAGGCACGAAAGCGUGGGGAGCAAACAGG